AAGCUCGUAGUUGAAUUUCGAGAUCAGUACGCUGGUCGUGCCUUCGGUAUGCACUGGUGUCACUGGUUUCUCCCUUCUGAAGAACCGUCAUGUCAUUAAGUUGGUGUGGCGGGGAAUCAGGACUGUUACUUUGAAAAAAUUUGAGUGUUUAAAGCAGGCUCGCGCUUGAAUACAUUAGCAUGGAAUAAUGAAAUAGGACGUUUGACCCUAUUUUGUUGGUUUCUAGGAUCGACGUAAUGAUUAAUAGGGAUAGUUGGGGGCAUUAGUAUUCAAUUGUCAGAGGUGAAAUUCUUGGAUUUAUUGAAGACUAACUACUGCGAAAGCAUUUGCCAAGGAUGUUUUCAUUAAUCAAGAACGAAAGUUAGGGGAUCGAAGACGAUCAGAUGCCGUCGUAGUCUUAACCAUAAACUAUGCCGACUAGGGAUCGGAUGAUGUUAAUUUUUUAAUGACUCAUUCGGCACCUUACGGGAAACCAAAGUGUUUGGGUUCCGGGGGGAGUAUGGUCGCAAGGCUGAAACUUAAAGGAAUUGACGGAAGGGCACCACCAGGCGUGGAGCCUGCGGCUUAAUUUGACUCAACACGGGGAAA
Molecule: ribosomal RNA, 588 nt
Filed under: uncultured Glomus
Lineage: Eukaryota; Fungi; Glomeromycota; Glomeromycetes; Glomerales; Glomeraceae
Description: SSU rRNA
Rfam family: Eukaryotic small subunit ribosomal RNA
Source: RNAcentral